UGGCAGGUCAGCAUACUGCCGUGAAUACGUUCCCGGGCCCUUGUACACACCGCCCGUCACACCAUGAGAGUUGGGAAUACCCGAAGCCUGUGAGCUAACAAGUUUCUUGAGGCAGCAGUCGAAGGUAGAAUCAAUGAUUGGGGUGAAGUCGUAACAAGGUAGC
This 163-nucleotide ribosomal RNA is filed under the name uncultured bacterium. RNAcentral describes it as "partial 16S ribosomal RNA". It matches the Rfam family "Bacterial small subunit ribosomal RNA", at positions 1342 to 1500 of the family's 1533-position model. The record is from RNAcentral.